CAAACAGCUUUUGUUCAGGAGUCCAAGAACCGAGUUCAGCCUGGAAAAAAAACAGCACAACUUCUUUCCUCACUUUCUAGCAGGAAGAAACACUACCUGCCUGGGCUGCUUUUUUCCCUUCCCUCCUCCUCCUCGGAGCGCAAACAAUGUUCUUUUGAUGCUUUCCUGCGAGUGGGAAUCUCGCCCUGGAGAAGGAGACAAAACUUUGGUACCUGUGAAACGAAGACUGCUUAGGUAGCAGUGGAAAUGAAAGCAAUUCCAUUUGCCACACGGGCUCCACAAAUCUCGUUUUGUCGGCGCUUCAGUCGCUGCGUGAGGUAGCUCCGUCCUCGGCGCGUGUUGGGAUCUGGGAAUUUGGUGGCUCAUUACUGAACUGCUGCCUGUGCCCUGCAAAACGAGGCUGCACAUCCUACCCUGGGACACCCUCGGCCAGCCUGCAAGAAAAACAGGCUCCUCUUCAGAGUGCCUCCCUAGAAAACACUCGGUUAGCAGCAGAAAAUACCUGUCUGCAUGAGAGGCUGCGCUGCUUUCCAACAACAACAACAACAAAACCUGUGUGAUUGUGAUUUCUGCUCCGAGCAGGGCUUGGGGUGACACCCAG
RNAcentral lists this long non-coding RNA (601 nucleotides) under Chloebia gouldiae (Gouldian finch). RNAcentral describes it as "Erythrura gouldiae (Gouldian finch) lncRNA (ENSEGOG00005013198.1)". Lineage: Eukaryota; Metazoa; Chordata; Aves; Passeriformes; Passeridae. The record is from RNAcentral.